Molecule: unclassified non-coding RNA, 222 nt
Filed under: Basidiomycota sp.
Lineage: Eukaryota; Fungi; Basidiomycota
Also listed under: 1 other name
Description: partial internal transcribed spacer 2
Source: RNAcentral
GACCUCUCAACCGCUUUGGUAUUCGAUUACAAAAGUCGGCUUGGAACUUGGGUGCCUCUGGCGAAACGCAAAAGGUCUUUGCGGACCUGUCGCCCACCCCAAAGUCAGUUGGGCCAACCGCGCGGAUGAGCGGACGGUUUGACCACAGUGUUGUAAGGUUCGCCUCACUGUCGGGACGUCCAUUUCCGUCGCAUAUAGGCAUUUGAAAUACGAUACUAUUGA